Paramuricea clavata is the source of this 2585-nucleotide non-coding RNA. Lineage: Eukaryota; Metazoa; Cnidaria; Anthozoa; Malacalcyonacea; Plexauridae. The record is from the annotation of a GenBank genome assembly.
CAGCUACAUACUAUACAUGGUAUACAACAACGAAUAUGCAGCUCGUAAUUUUAAAUUUGCUGCUUUUAUUCUCUUUUGUGGAUCUUCAUACAUUAGCGGUAAGUCUAUAACAUCUAUAAUAAAUAUAUUUCCAUUUUUAAUCUGUAUAUUAUUGUGUGAAAUUUGAGUUUCUUGCAAAUAAACAUCAAAUGGCGAUGCUUUGUAUUUAAUAUUUUUAUGUCGCUGACAGCCGACAGGUAUAGAAGAUCACUAGGCACCAAGGGUGGGUAGUAGCGAAGUAGUUGUAGUUCGCUACUGUAGCGAACUACAAUUUUCAAGUAGCCAGUAGUUUUUGACUACUUUUUUAAAACAGUAGUUGUAGUUAUAGCGAACUACAUUUUGCCUAAAAGUAGCCAAGUAGUUGACUACUUUUCAAACAGCGAAUCGCUAUUCGCUACUUUUUAAAAUUGUUAUAUAGCAACCGUUCGUAGAAUAUAAUGAUAUUAAGACACGGUUUGCUUAAAAGAUUAUUUUAUACAGUAAAGAUUAUUUUAGCGCAUUGAAAAGUGGCACUCCUGAACACUGUAUAGUGCUUACAAAAAUGUUGCUUUGACCCUUUUGUUUACUGUUGCUACUCGUAAGUCGAUUUGUUAUAGGUUAAAUUACAACCUGAGCCCAAAUACCGUAAAACUAAAAAAUAUAGAGUAGCGAAAUAGCGAAAUAGUUCGCUACAUUUUUUAAGCAGUAGCUGUACAUAGUCAGUAGCGAACUACUUUUGUUCAAAAGUAGCAGUAGUUGUAGCUGACUACAUAUUUUUGAAGUAGCUGUAGUUAUAGCGAACUACAAAAAUUUUGUAGUCAACCCACCCUUGCUAGGCACUAGCUUUAAAACACCUGGACACAUUUUAUAUUAUCUUAAUGUUUAAUACUAGUGAUAAAUUUCAAGCGAUGAGAAUAUAUAAUUUAACUCAUAUCAACGAAUUAAUGUGCUAGAUAUUUAGUAGAGAGUAGAGUCUCCCUGGAAUUUUAUAAAUAAAACGGGGUGUAUUAAUGGGCGAGGAAGGGGCAUGGACAUUUAUAUACGCCUGUAUUCUAAAAGCUCACACGCUCACACUUAAAGAGUGGAGAUAUAAUCUGAGCUCCCCUUGAGUGUGGUUUUUGAAUAGCUGGAGGAUGAGUAGUCACAAUAAGCCCUGGGCUUAUAAUUAUAUACUUUCGUAAACGAUUUUUGAUGGGCUUAUACAAGGGGGGCUUAUAUACGGGUGGGCUUAUACAUGGACAAUCUUUUGUGUUAGUAAUAAACAAGUCAGACAUAAACAAGUCAGUCAUAAACAGGGAGUAAACAUGUAUUAAGCAGCGAUUACUGGGCUUAUAUUAAUUGGGGGACCUAUAUUCAGGGGGCUUAUAUUCGAGUGGGCUUAUAUUUGGAAUGAGGUGAGUGUUAGUACAUGUGGUGGGCUUAUACAUGGGGGGCUUAUAUUCGGGGGUCUUAUAGUCGGAGCUUUAUGGUAUAACCCUUGUACAGCUAUUCAAAAACUGCACUGUCUGACACUCAAGGGAACCUCAGAUUAAACCUCCACUAUUUGAGUGUGAGUGAGCUUUUAGAACACAGGUGUUACGAUAGAACCCGAGUUAGCGAGGAUUUGAGUUUAAAUUAAUGAGGUUGGUGUUGGAUUUUGUUUAUUAUGUUGCUGUUAUAGUUAAUAACUAUAAGGUAUAGUCGUUUUAUCACCACAAUUGAUCGAGAGUCACUAUGGUACACUCUACAAAGAAUUUCUAAAGUCUGUACUACUGUUACCAGUCUUCAAUUAACAGUACAGUACCUACCAACAGUACAUGUACAUACAAGCUAGGUCAGUAAUAAUCAACGCUUUACGACAUAAUAAUUGAACUUUUUUCUCUCUAUCGACUAAUGUAUUACAUUUGUAUAUAUUGCAUACUGAUUCAAUUGUUGUUGUCUAUUAAAAUUGCAAUCCAAGCUUCCAAGUUGUCAAUGUGCUAAUUGUUCUGAUAUUUUGAGGUUUGCCGAUCCACAUCUAAAAAACACAGUUCAAGUUAUCCCAGGUAAAUUUGACCAAGGGAAAAUGAAAUUUGUAUGAGUUAGCAAGGAGGUCGAGUUAAUUCAAUGUUCGAGUCAGUGGGGUCACUUCUACUAUUGUGUAUAGUUUGCUUAAGACUUGAGAUCCUUAAAGCUAGUACAAUUCUCUGCAGUGACUAUUAGUGGCUACAAAGUUUCUGGCUAGUUGCUGCUGGCUAUUGGAACUGCUGGUCAUUUGACAUAAAUUGCUUACACUUGCAGGGUUUCCUAUCGCUUGUUGAAAAAGCUCAAGGGUAGGUUGGGAAUUCACUUCAAUCAGGGUUGGUGCAUUGAGCAGUCAAAAGCUUAGAUAGGAUUGGGAAACUGGAAACGUAGUAAGCUAUUUUUGAGCCCAAUUGCCAGGUGUUUAUUCCUGCGAAGUGAGCUGUGUGUGAGUUCGAGUUUUGCCUGGGUAUGUUUUGUCUGUCACUUACUAGACUUUUUUUGAAAUGUUUUUUAAAACUUUCCGACUUGUUUUACAUGUAACUAUUGAAUUGUUUAUUUUGCCUGUUAGGGUUGGGAAAGAUUGG